Molecule: transfer RNA, 66 nt
Filed under: Platevindex mortoni
Lineage: Eukaryota; Metazoa; Mollusca; Gastropoda; Systellommatophora; Onchidiidae
Description: tRNA-Ser
Source: RNAcentral
AGCAAACGCAAGACAUAAACUUAACAAAUAAGUGAGUACACUUAGCGGGAAAGUAUUUCCCAAUAA